RNAcentral lists this long non-coding RNA (256 nucleotides) under Pan troglodytes (chimpanzee). RNAcentral's name for it is "lincRNA". Lineage: Eukaryota; Metazoa; Chordata; Mammalia; Primates; Hominidae. The record is from RNAcentral.
UAUUUUAAUAAUUCUUUUUGUUUUUUUUUUUAAUGGAGUGUUGAUUACCUUACAUAAAUUUAAUUGUAAACAUGUACAUAGGACCGUGAUUUUGAAUUAAAAAAAUACUUUGGGCCUUCGGCCUUCUUAGUAGUUUUGUUUUGUUUUGUUUUGUUUUGUUUUCGUUUUUGUUUUGAUACGGCGUCUUGCUCUGUCGCCCAGAAAAUAAACAUAUAAAAGUCUUCCUCAGCGACAAAAGCAAACGCAAGCCCGAGCU